Molecule: ribosomal RNA, 589 nt
Filed under: Hepatozoon canis
Lineage: Eukaryota; Apicomplexa; Hepatozoidae
Description: bacterial SSU rRNA
Rfam family: Eukaryotic small subunit ribosomal RNA
Source: RNAcentral
UCUCAACUUUAUUAGAAGAGACGCAUUUAUUAGAUAAAAAGCCAGUUCAUGCUUUUACAGUAUGAAAAUUGGUGAUUUAUAAUAACUUAGCAAAUCGCAAAGUGAAAACAGGCGAUAAAUCAUUCAAGUUUCUGACCUAUCAGCUUUCGACGGUAUGGUAUUGGCUUACCGUGGCAGUGACGGUUAACGGGGGAUUAGGGUUCGAUUCCGGAGAGGGAGCCUGAGAAACGGCUACCACAUCUAAGGAAGGCAGCAGGCGCGCAAAUUACCCAAUUCUAACAGUUUGAGAGAGGUAGUAACAAGAAAUAACAAUACAAGGCAGUUAAAAUGCUUUGUAAUUGGAAUGAUAGAAAUUUAAACCCUUUUUAAAGUAUCAAUUGGAGGGCAAGUCUGGUGCCAGCAGCCGCGGUAAUUCCAGCUCCAAUAGCGUAUAUUAAAAUUGUUGCAGUUAAAAAGCUCGUAGUUGAAGUUCUGCUGAAAGUAACCGGUCUGCUUUUAAUAAAAGUGGUAUCUUGGUAUGUAUUUAGCAAUGAUGUCCUUUGAAGUGUUUUUUACUUUAUUGUAAUAAAGCAUAUUCAGGACUUUUACU